CAAAUAUAAAUUAAUAUUUAAUAGUCCGGAUUGUUAAAUUAAUUAUAUAAGGUGGUGGCACAAAAUCGGAGGCCCCGACUGUUUACUAAAAACACAACACAGUGCAAUCAUUAAUAUGAUAGUAUACUGUGUGAAAUUUGCCCGAUGCCAUUAAUAUAAGAGCGGUUAUGGGGAACUGUGACUAAUCGAAAAUCUGGUUAAUAGCGGUCUUAACUAUGAGGAUCCUAAGGUAGCAAAAUCAGUUGGCCAUUAAAUGUGGUCCGGUAUCAAUAAUGUAACGAUGGCCUCACUGUCUCUACAACUUGCUCAGUGAAAUUGAAUUACACGUGCAGAUGCGUGUUGCCUCCAGGGGGACGGGAAGACCCUAUGCAGCU
This 374-nucleotide ribosomal RNA is filed under the name Tricholoma saponaceum. Its description in RNAcentral is "LSU rRNA". It matches the Rfam family "Bacterial large subunit ribosomal RNA", at positions 1718 to 2100 of the family's 2925-position model. Lineage: Eukaryota; Fungi; Basidiomycota; Agaricomycetes; Agaricales; Tricholomataceae. The record is from RNAcentral.